RNAcentral lists this ribosomal RNA (464 nucleotides) under uncultured bacterium. RNAcentral describes it as "partial 16S ribosomal RNA". It matches the Rfam family "Bacterial small subunit ribosomal RNA", at positions 28 to 507 of the family's 1533-position model. The record is from RNAcentral.
GACGAACGCUGGCGGCGUGCUUAACACAUGCCAGUCGAACGGAAAGGCCCAGCUUGCUGGGUGCUCGAGUGGCGAACGGGUGAGUAACACGUGGGUGAUCUGCCCCUAACUUCGGGAUAAGCUUGGGAAACUGGGUCUAAUACCGGAUAGGACAAUCGUUUAGUGUCGGUUGUGGAAAGUUUUUUCGGUUAGGGAUGAGCCCGCGGCCUAUCAGCUUGUUGGUGGGGUAAUGGCCUACCAAGGCGUCGACGGGUAGCCGGCCUGAGAGGGUGGACGGCCACAUUGGGACUGAGAUACGGCCCAGACUCCUACGGGAGGCAGCAGUGGGGAAUAUUGCACAAUGGGCGCAAGCCUGAUGCAGCGACGCCGCGUGGGGGAUGACGGCCUUCGGGUUGUAAACCUCUUUCGACAGGGACGAAGCUUUGGUGACGGUACCUGUAUAAGAAGCACCUGCUAACUACGUG